Molecule: ribosomal RNA, 354 nt
Filed under: Triticum aestivum (bread wheat)
Lineage: Eukaryota; Viridiplantae; Streptophyta; Magnoliopsida; Poales; Poaceae
Description: partial small subunit ribosomal RNA
Source: RNAcentral
AUGGCUCCCCGCCAUUACCAGCCACGCACCGGCGUCCGGUCCGGCCGCAGCCGCCGUGCGCGCAUGGCUCCUCGGAAGCAGCAAGGGCCCGUGCGCGCGGUGCUCUGCCUGGCCGUCCAAGGAGAGGACGCAGGCACGCGAAGAGGCGCCAUUCCAUUCUGCGAUGGCUGGCUGGGCAGGCACGCCCUUCCUUGGCGCGCGCCCAUGCACGUACUCCUCCUCCUCCUCCUCCUCCUACUACUAGUACAUCCGGCCCGUAGUGAACAGCAGCACUGCGAUGCGAUGCGAUGCGCCGGUGCGACUUUGAAAGCGCCAAGAGGCCCAAUCAGCAGGCUGCCUUGUGCACCUAGCUAG